UCUUCCGCAAUGGACGAAAGUCUGACGGAGCAACGCCGCGUGUGUGAUGAAGGUUUUCGGAUCGUAAAACUCUGUUGUUAGGGAAGAACAAGUACCGUCCGAAUAGGGCGGUACCUUUACGGUACCUAACCAGACAGCCACGGCUAACUACGUGCCAGCAGCCGCGCUAAUAUGUAGGUGGCAAGCGUUGUCCGGAAUUAUUGGGCGUAAAGAGCGCGCAGGCGGUUUCUUAAGUCUGAUGUGAAAGCCCCCGGCUCAACCGGGGAGGGUCAUUGGAAACUGGGGAACUUGAGUGCAGAAGAGGAGAGUGGAAUUCCACGUGUAGCGGUGAAAUGCGUAGAGAUGUGGAGGAACACCAGUGGCGAAGGCGACUCUCUGGUCUGUAACUGACGCUGAGGCGCGAAAGCGUGGGGAGCGAACAG
Molecule: ribosomal RNA, 422 nt
Filed under: uncultured bacterium
Lineage: Bacteria
Description: bacterial SSU rRNA
Rfam family: Bacterial small subunit ribosomal RNA
Source: RNAcentral